GAGCGAACGCUGGCGGCGUGCCUAACACAUGCAAGUCGAACGGUUCUGUUGGGGGCUUGCUCUCGACAGAGUAGUGGCAAACGGGUGAGUAACACGUGGGUAAUCUUCCUUCGAGUGAGGAAUAACUUCGGGAAACCGGAGCUAAUACCGCAUAACAUCUUGGAACGGCAGUUUCAAGAUCAAAGGGGGCGCAAGCUCCCGCUUGAAGUUGAGCUCGCGUCCUAUCAGCUAGUUGGUGAGGUAAUGGCUCACCAAGGCUCCGACGGGUAGCCGGCCUGAGAGGGUGGCCGGCCACACUGGGACUGAGACACGGCCCAGACUCCUACGGGAGGCAGCAGUGGGGAAUAUUGCGCAAUGGACGAAAGUCUGACGCAGCGACGCCGCGUGGGUGAUGAAGGCCUUCGGGUCGUAAAGCCCUGUUGAGGGAGAGAAAGCUACUGUCGGUUAAUACCCGGCAGUGGUGAUAGUAUCCCUAGAGAAAGCACCGGCUAACUACGUG
This 499-nucleotide ribosomal RNA is filed under the name uncultured bacterium. Its description in RNAcentral is "bacterial SSU rRNA". It matches the Rfam family "Bacterial small subunit ribosomal RNA", at positions 27 to 507 of the family's 1533-position model. The record is from RNAcentral.